UUCUUCGGGGCAGGGUGCAAUUCCCUACCGGCGGUAUAGCCCGCGAACCGCGUUUUUGCGGCCGAUUCGGUGAAAUUCCGGAGCCGACAGUAUAGUCUGGAUGAAAGAAGA
This 111-nucleotide non-coding RNA is filed under the name human gut metagenome. RNAcentral's name for it is "FMN riboswitch (RFN element)". It matches the Rfam family "FMN riboswitch aptamer (RFN element)". From Rfam's summary of the family: The RFN element is a highly conserved domain that is found frequently in the 5'-untranslated regions of prokaryotic mRNAs that encode for flavin mononucleotide (FMN) biosynthesis and transport proteins. This element is a metabolite-dependent riboswitch that directly binds FMN in the absence of proteins. The record is from RNAcentral. RNAcentral also lists the same sequence under 1 other name.